This 270-nucleotide ribosomal RNA is filed under the name uncultured Bifidobacteriales bacterium. RNAcentral describes it as "partial 16S ribosomal RNA". It matches the Rfam family "Bacterial small subunit ribosomal RNA", at positions 504 to 773 of the family's 1533-position model. The record is from RNAcentral. Lineage: Bacteria; Bacillati; Actinomycetota; Actinomycetes; Bifidobacteriales.
UGUGCCAGCAGCCGCGGUAAUACGUAGGGCGCAAGCGUUAUCCGGAUUUAUUGGGCGUAAAGGGCUCGUAGGCGGCUCGUCGCGUCCGGUGUGAAAGUCCAUCGCUUAACGGUGGAUCUGCGCCGGGUACGGGCGGGCUGGAGUGCGGUAGGGGAGACUGGAAUUCCCGGUGUAACGGUGGAAUGUGUAGAUAUCGGGAAGAACACCGAUGGCGAAGGCAGGUCUCUGGGCCGUCACUGACGCUGAGGAGCGAAAGCGUGGGGAGCGAAC